GAUGGUGUAGCUCAGUAGGAUAGAGCAGCAGCCUUCUAAGCUGUCGGUCGGUGGUUCGAAUCCACCCUCCAUCGCCA
Molecule: transfer RNA, 77 nt
Filed under: Escherichia coli
Lineage: Bacteria; Pseudomonadati; Pseudomonadota; Gammaproteobacteria; Enterobacterales; Enterobacteriaceae
Description: tRNA-Arg
Rfam family: tRNA
About the family: Transfer RNA (tRNA) molecules are approximately 80 nucleotides in length.
Source: RNAcentral